CCAGAUGGCGACCGGCGCACGGGUGAGUAACGCGUAUCCAACCUUCCCGUAUAGUAGAGAAUAGCCCGGCGAAAGUCGGAUUAAUGCUCUAUGUUGUGUUUUGAGGACAUCUGACGGAACACCAAAGGUUCACCGCUAUAGGAUGGGGAUGCGUCUGAUUAGCUUGUUGGCGGGUAACGGCCCACCAGGCGACGAUCAGUAGGGUCUGAGAGGAAGGUCCCCCACAUUGGUACUCGAGACACGGACCAAACUCCUACGGGAGGCAGCAGUGAGGAAUAUUGGUCAAUGGGCGAGAGCCUGAACCAGCCAAGUAGCGUGCAGGACGACUGCCCUAUGGGUUGUAAACUGCUUUUAUCAGGGAAUAAAGUGCGGCACGUGUGCCGUUUUUGUAUGUACCUGAUGAAUAAGGACCGGCUAAUUCCGUGCCAGCCGCGGC
Molecule: ribosomal RNA, 436 nt
Filed under: uncultured bacterium
Lineage: Bacteria
Description: bacterial SSU rRNA
Rfam family: Bacterial small subunit ribosomal RNA
Source: RNAcentral